UACGUAGGGUGCGAGCGUUAAUCGGAUUUACUGGGCGUAAAGCGUGCGCAGGCGGCCCGUUAAGACAGGUGUGAAAUCCCUGGGCUCAACCUAGGAAUCGCGCUUGUGACUGGCGGGCUCGAGUACGGUAGAGGGGGGUGGAAUUCCUGGUGUAGCAGUGAAAUGCGUAGAGAUCAGGAGGAACACCGAUGGCGAAGGCAGCCCCCUGGGCCUGUACUGACGCUCAUGCACGAAAGCGUGGGGAGCAAACAGG
Molecule: ribosomal RNA, 253 nt
Filed under: uncultured microorganism
Description: partial 16S ribosomal RNA
Rfam family: Bacterial small subunit ribosomal RNA
Source: RNAcentral